AAAUAAGUUUAGGUUUAGGUAAAGUGAUUAUAAAAUGAAUUUCUUGAUUAUUUGCUAGGAUUUUGGUCUUAGAAACGCUUAAAAUACUUGUUACGCUAAUUCCUGUGGAAUCCUUGCUCAGGAUUACUUCUAGAUCGCCGUCAUUGAUGAUGACUGGAUUUAUUAUAUUUGCUGUAGCCAAAGUGAUUGCCAUUAUCAAAUUUUCAAUUUCUAAAGUUAACAUUCUGUUUCUUGCCAAAAGGGUCUCGUAAAGGUGUGAAGUAUCAAUUUGAAUUGCUUUUUGAGCUUUUAGAAUUUCAUUUACCGUGAGGGUAAGAGCAUUGAUCUGUUUUUGCGUUCUUCGGCGUCGGGGGUCCCAGCAAUUACCUUCAAGGCCCUACCUAUGACGUCCAAACUCCGCGCGUGCCUAUGGUGAACGCCCAGGGUCACCAAGAGUGUUGACAUGUGGUUAACGUCGGCUUCCAGUAUCUUACGCAUGUGCGACUGGGGGAACAGUUUUGUCGUCUCCGCUGUCUCGCGCACGAGCCUGUCAUACUCCGUCAGUCACCGGGAUGUAGCGCGAAUGGGAAUAAUUCACCAAUUUAGCCGUUGACAUCGCAGCCCACGCAACCAAGACCACAACGCGCCUGCGAAUCAAUAAAACAUCUUCGAUGAGGCAACCCGCUCUAACUUAU
Drosophila hydei is the source of this 674-nucleotide long non-coding RNA. RefSeq lists it as uncharacterized. Lineage: Eukaryota; Metazoa; Arthropoda; Insecta; Diptera; Drosophilidae. The transcript has 3 exons. The record is from RefSeq and is a predicted model, not a curated record.